CAUGUUGUUUUCUCCAUAUAACAGCUGCGGCUCCAAAUACAAUCAUCAGAGCCAAAACCACCAGAACUGAAGGAAUCACUGAUUUAAAUGGUUCCCUGUGAUCAUACUCUGAAACAUGAACCACAGACUGAGAGACUGACUUUUUUUGUUUUUGUUUUGAUUGUUAAAUGAUGUUUUCUGUAAGAGCUCAUUACCCAAAGUGACAUCCAGUUUGUUGUCCAGACUGAGGUGUGUGGCAGAGCAGGUGUAUUUGUGUUUGUCUGCACUGAUCUCCAGACUCUUCCUCAUCUGGUACGUCCCGUCACCAUUGGGCAGCAGAUCUCCUCCAGUGAUCUCAUGAUCAGAUACAGGCUGUCCAUCUCUGAACAGGGUCAGGUUGAUGUGACGAGGGUAAAAUCCUGUCGCCAAACAACUCACACGAAACCCUCCAGAAUCUGAGUUUGCUUUCUGAAUGAGUCUGACUCGCGGUUUCACUGUAGAAGGAAACAAUGAGAGAAA
Molecule: long non-coding RNA, 498 nt
Organism: Ctenopharyngodon idella (grass carp)
Lineage: Eukaryota; Metazoa; Chordata; Actinopteri; Cypriniformes; Xenocyprididae
Exons: 3
Source: RefSeq, a predicted model, not a curated record